This 529-nucleotide ribosomal RNA is filed under the name Brachygastra mouleae. Its description in RNAcentral is "partial 16S ribosomal RNA". The record is from RNAcentral. Lineage: Eukaryota; Metazoa; Arthropoda; Insecta; Hymenoptera; Vespidae.
AAACAUGUCUUAUUGAUAAAAAUAAUAAGUCGAUUUCUGCCCAUUGAAAUUAAAUUUAAAAGGCUGCGGUAUAUUAACUGUACAAAGGUAGCAAAAUAAAUAGUUUUUUAAUUGAAAACUUGAAUGAAAGAUUUGAUAAAAUAUAAAUUGUCUCAAAUUAAUGAUUAUAAAAUUUAAAUAAAAAGUUAAAAUGCUUUUAUAGAUUUAUUAGACGAUAAGACCCUAAGAAUUUAAUAAUUUAAUUAUUAUUAAUAAAUUUAAUGAAAAAUUUAAUAAAAAUUAAAAUAUUUUAUUGGGAGGAUAAUUAAAUUUAAACUUUAAUUUUAAAGAAAUAUUAUUAGAUAAAUUUUUAAUGAUUAAAAUAUUAAUUAUAAGAAUAAAUUACCUUAGGGAUAACAGCGUAAUAAUUUUGGAUAGUUCAUAUUGAUAAAAUUGUUUGCGACCUCGAUGUUGAAUUAAAAUAAAAAUUAAAUGAAGAUAUUUAAAUUUUUAGUCUGUUCGACUAUUAAAAUUUUACAUGAUCUGAGUU